This 655-nucleotide unclassified non-coding RNA is filed under the name Hevea brasiliensis (rubber tree). The record is from RNAcentral. Lineage: Eukaryota; Viridiplantae; Streptophyta; Magnoliopsida; Malpighiales; Euphorbiaceae.
GUGGGGUGUGGGGUGUGUGUGAAUAAAUUCUUCUUAUCCUUAAUCCAUAUAAGGACCCCAUUUCAUCUCAACUCAAGAAUCAUAAUAUGUCAAUAUAAAUGCCUUUCAAGAUGAAACAAUAUUAAAAUAAGGUGCAGCAAAGUACAUCCUCUAUAUAAUUAGCAUGGACUCUCGCUUGUUGCAGAGGAAAACUUGCACCACAUUUCUGUAACAUGAAUCAACAUCACCAUUUGUUAGCCUCUAAGUAGUGGCCAGGCAUUACUUGGAGCUGUUUUAGGGACAUUCCUUUGAUGCAUCCAGUUAUUUCCUAACAAUUGUUUUAAUGGUAGAAGCACACACUUGAUAGAUAGAGUUAAGGCAUUAUUUAGAACUGUUUUAGGGGUACAGUCCUUUGGUGCAUCCAGUUAUUUCUUAACUGUUUUAACAGUAGAAGCACAGACUUGAUAGAUAGAAUUAAGGCAUUACUUAAAACUGUUUUAGGGGUACAUUCCUUUGGUGCAUUCAAUUGUUUCGGAACAACUGUUUUAGCUGUAGAUGCACACGCUUGAUAGAUAGAAUUAAUAGUUUUUUUCUUCUAAACUUUUGUUGCAUAUUUUUGUCAGCUCUUUAACCUGCAGUUUAAAUCAAUUGCAGAUUUACAGUUAUUCGAUAGAUU